UGCGUGGCCGGUGUGGGGCCACAUGGAAACCAUCGCCCCCAGCUAGCAGCACAUUCUAGCUGGUGUCUCCGUCUCUCAAUGGCCAUUGCUUGCUAGAGAGAGAGAGGGAGAGAGACGCGUCCACCGGCCUUUCGGUGCGUCUAAAUAAAUCUUAUCAUUUCUCUUUAUUUAUUUACCCCUCGAUCUACUUCUUCUCUUCACUCCAUUAGUCAGCAGCCUGCUAGCUAGCUGUCCGUCCGUCUUCAACCUCUCCCCUCCUCUCCUGCUUUUCCAUGGACGGAGCUUCAUCAGCUUCUUUUUCCUAUAGCUACCUGGCUAGCUGCACAACAAAGCAGGCUAGCUAGCAGCUCCAGCACAAGUUGAUCCGGUACUACUCCCACUCUUAUCAUCAUCCGGUCCUUCAUACUACACCAAGGGUUUUGCUUAAUUAGCUGCUGGUUCUUCAUUAUUCAUUCCCUAGUCUGCCGUCGAUCUAUUGCUUUAUUUCUUCAUAUUUUGCUUUGCCUAGAUCGAUCCAUGUAUUAGCUAGCCAUGUAGCUAGUUAGCCAGCCCCCGGCCCUCAUCAGCUCGCUCUCGCUCUGCUCCUCCCUUCAAUUAACCAAGGAGACCAGUAGCAAAUAGCAAUCUUCGCCUGCUAACCGUGGCUGCUAUACCUUCUCAAUAAGAUCCAUUGAUCGAUGUGAUGUACAUCAACAAUCCUCUCUCCGUCGAUCCCCCCUUCUUUCUCCGGGCGACGACAGAGAUCAACGGCGGCGGUGGCGGCGCGACUGAGGUGGAAAGGUAUAUAUAGUGUAAUCCAGUUCUUGCUUCUUCUUCGGUUCCUUGCAUCUAUCUAUCUCCUCCGAUCCUCCCUUAUUUUUGGCUAUGUAUAUAUGCCCGGCCCAUCUGUCUAUCCGACUAGCUCUCUCAUCCAUGCCUGCAUCUUGCUCUGUGCCUUAAUUUGAUGCAUGAUGCUUCAAUCUAUCCAGCCUCUUCUUCUUGAUUCGUAGGCUCAUCUAUGUCUGAGUCUGACAUAUAUACACACACAUGUGAGAAGAACAAGAUAGCUAUAGAUAGAUGUGUAAGCCCUCUUCUCUCUCCUUUUCUCUUUUCUAUUAACAACCUUAGCUUCCACAUCUUUAAUCUCAAAAAAUAAAAAUAAAAUCCUCAUCUUUCCUGAAGAACUUGGAGAAUUGAAGUUAGCUGCUACAGAUUAUGAAGCAAGCACGCAAGCAAACACAGUCGGUGCUUGCAGGUGCAGCAUCAUCAAGAUUCACAUCCAGCUCAUCCUCGGUGAUAUGCUAUAUACAUAAAUAUAUGCGUAUGUGAUGAGAUGAGAAUCUUGAUGAUGCUGCAUCAGCAAACACUCACUCAUCCCACCUGGACAGUGAGAGACGCCGAAUCCGGCAGAAAUUAGGUUGGAUUGGACCCAACAUAUGAAGUGCCGCUGACCAUACAGAUGUUGUAUGUACGUAUAGUUUGCCUACCUUUUGCUGGCUAAUAAGCUCUGUUUCAAUUGGCAUCGAUCGAGUCAGUAUAUAUAUAGCUGCAGUGUGCAAGGUGAGUACAUACAUAAUACAGUGCUUGGUUUUGAGUAUAGUUCAUUCCUAAUUUCCAUUUGGGAAGCAUAUAUAUAUGUACCCCAUGAUUAAGGAAGCCGCGCCAUGAUUUUAUGGUAUAUUAUUAUCAGUUCAAUUUUAGGUCCCUUAUAUUCGAUUAUAUUUCAUCACCCUUCCUUUAGCAUGCAUGCAUAUCAUUUCCACACAUUUACUGAUUUUGAGGAUAAUUUUCACUUUGCAAGGAGUGGCUGCACUACUGAGGAUAUACAUUGAGUUUAAGUUUUUUUUACGUGUGCAUAUAUAUAGCUUAUUGCUGCAGGUUCAAGUUAUUAAUUUUAAUUUGUGCUUCUAUAAUCCAUCGUAUCAAUGCGCAACUUUCAUUUUUAAUUUGGUUUGCUGGUGGCUCUUCCUAUAUAUUGUGUUUCCUCUCCAUUUUCCUCCCUUUGAUAUUAUGUGUGUGCGCAACUGUGUGCAUAUGUAUUUUUGAUAUACAGAUAUACUAUGUAUGCUAGCUCAGUCGUCGAUCACAGCUAGAGAGGGACAAAAACAGUCAUAUAUAUAGAUCGAGGACACUAUUAAUUAAUCUACAUAUAGGUAAUUAAGAGUAGUGAGGUCUGUUUCCUCAAUCAUGCAUUCUUGGCAUCUAUAUAUACUUUAUUGUUCAAAACCCAAUAUAAUUAAUGUGCCAACGCACUGCUGCACGUACUCCCGUCGGCAUCAUCAUCGUCUGAUAUAUGAUUGAGGUACACAGAACAGACAUGCUCAUCUACAAAAUAUUCCCAAUCUCAUCAUUAGUUGAGAUGUUGUGUCAUCAACAUCUAGCUAACUGCAAUACUGCAUAGUUAUAUACUCCUGUGUACUAUACUCUAUCUGGUACCUCACAGAGAAUAUAGCAGUCGCCUCCCCUGCAGGCAGCUCAAGCUAUAUAUUCACAUGGAGCAGCCAAUUUUUGCAACAUCAGCUAACACUACGCCGUACUUAAUACUUAAUUCGGCUGUCAACACAGAGGAGACUCAAAUAAUUGAAGUUCCAGCGCGUCUGCAGUCAGAAAAACAUGAAGGUUUGUUCAUCAGAACCACAAAUAUAAUGCAUACAUAUAAUAACUGGGAAGCUUUUGUGAUUUGUUUGUUUCUAAUGAUGGAUGGACACCCAACAAGGAAUAUGGAGUGCUGAUCGAGUCUCACAAUUAUAUGGUUAUUCUGUGGAAUAUA
This is a long non-coding RNA of Sorghum bicolor (sorghum), 2749 nucleotides long. RefSeq lists it as uncharacterized. NCBI's taxonomy places the organism in Eukaryota, Viridiplantae, Streptophyta, Magnoliopsida, Poales, Poaceae. The transcript has 2 exons. The record is from RefSeq and is a predicted model, not a curated record.